This 467-nucleotide ribosomal RNA is filed under the name uncultured bacterium. RNAcentral describes it as "partial 16S ribosomal RNA". It matches the Rfam family "Bacterial small subunit ribosomal RNA", at positions 28 to 506 of the family's 1533-position model. The record is from RNAcentral.
GACGAACGCUGGCGGCGUGCUUAACACAUGCAAGUCGAACGGAAAGGCCCUGCUUUUGUGGGGUGCUCGAGUGGCCAACGGGUGAGUAACACGUGAGUAACCUGCCCUUGACUUUGGGAUAACUUCAGGAAACUGGGGCUAAUACCGGAUAGGAGCUCCUGCUGCAUGGUGGGGGUUGGAAAGUUUCGGCGGUUGGGGAUGGACUCGCGGCUUAUCAGCUUGUUGGUGGGGUAGUGGCUUACCAAGGCUUUGACGGGUAGCCGGCCUGAGAGGGUGACCGGCCACAUUGGGACUGAGAUACGGCCCAGACUCCUACGGGAGGCAGCAGUGGGGAAUAUUGCACAAUGGGCGGAAGCCGGAUGCAGCAACGCCGCGUGCGGGAUGACGGCCUUCGGGUUGUAAACCGCUUUCGCCUGUGACGAAGCGUGAGUGACGGUAAUGGGGAAAGAAGCACCGGCUAACUACGU